UGACGAACGCUGGCGGCGUGCCUAAUACAUGCAAGUCGAACGCUUCUUUCCUCCCGAGUGCUUGCACUCAAUUGGAAAGAGGAGUGGCGGACGGGUGAGUAACACGUGGGUAACCUACCCAUCAGAGGGGGAUAACACUUGGAAACAGGUGCUAAUACCGCAUAACAGUUUAUGCCGCAUGGCAUAAGAGUGAAAGGCGCUUUCGGGUGUCGCUGAUGGAUGGACCCGCGGUGCAUUAGCUAGUUGGUGAGGUAACGGCUCACCAAGGCCACGAUGCAUAGCCGACCUGAGAGGGUGAUCGGCCACACUGGGACUGAGACACGGCCCAGACUCCUACGGGAGGCAGCAGUAGGGAAUCUUCGGCAAUGGACGAAAGUCUGACCGAGCAACGCCGCGUGAGUGAAGAAGGUUUUCGGAUCGUAAAACUCUGUUGUUAGAGAAGAACACGGACGUUAGUAACUGAACGUCCCCUGACGGUAUCUAACCAGAAAGCCACGGCUAACUACGUGCCAGCAGCCGCGGUAAUACGUAAGUGGCAAGCGUUGUCCGGAUUUAUUGGGCGUAAAGCGAGCGCAGGCGGUUUCUUAAGUCUGAUGUGAAAGCCCCCGGCUCAACCGGGGAGGGGCAUUGGAAACUGGGAGACUUGAGUGCAGAGAAGAGAAGUGAAAUUCCAUGUGUAGCGGUGAAAUGCGUAGAUAUAUGGAGGAACACCAGUGGCGAAGGCGGCUCUCUGGUCUGUAACUGACGCUGAGGCUCGAAAGCGUGGGGAGCAAACAGGAUUAGAUACCCUGGUAGUCCACGCCGUAAACGAUGAGUGCUAAGUGUUGGAGGGUUUCCGCCCUUCAGUGCUGCAGCAAACGCAUUAAGCACUCCGCCUGGGGAGUACGACCGCAAGGUUGAAACUCAAAGGAAUUGACGGGGGCCCGCACAAGCGGUGGAGCAUGUGGUUUAAUUCGAAGCAACGCGAAGAACCUUACCAGGUCUUGACAUCCUUUGACCACUCUAGAGAUAGAGCUUUCCCUUCGGGGACAAAGUGACAGGUGGUGCAUGGUUGUCGUCAGCUCGUGUCGUGAGAUGUUGGGUUAAGUCCCGCAACGAGCGCAACCCUUAUUAUUAGUUGCCAUCAUUUAGUUGGGCACUCUAGCGAGACUGCCGGUGACAAACCGGAGGAAGGUGGGGAUGACGUCAAAUCAUCAUGCCCCUUAUGACCUGGGCUACACACGUGCUACAAUGGGAAGUACAACGAGUCGCUAGACCGCGAGGUCAUGCAAAUCUCUUAAAGCUUCUCUCAGUUCGGAUUGCAGGCUGCAACUCGCCUGCAUGAAGCCGGAAUCGCUAGUAAUCGCGGAUCAGCACGCCGCGGUGAAUACGUUCCCGGGCCUUGUACACACCGCCCGUCACACCACGAGAGUUUGUAACACCCGAAGUCAGUGAGGUAACCUUUUUGGAGCCAGCCGCC
This 1459-nucleotide ribosomal RNA is filed under the name uncultured organism. RNAcentral's name for it is "SSU rRNA". It matches the Rfam family "Bacterial small subunit ribosomal RNA". The record is from RNAcentral.